RNAcentral lists this long non-coding RNA (18786 nucleotides) under Setaria italica (foxtail millet). RNAcentral's name for it is "long non-coding RNA (SITA_LNC005430)". The record is from RNAcentral. Lineage: Eukaryota; Viridiplantae; Streptophyta; Magnoliopsida; Poales; Poaceae.
GCGCACGGCACCCUUUCUCUCUUCCUCAACUUCUCAAUUAGUGCACACAUAGUCCACCUAUUUAAGUUGGUUAAGAUACUCUUAACUAUCCAGGUAGAAUUAACCACUUUAUCCAUCUAGCAUUACACGUGGAUCCUGAGAUUAAAUGAAUUAAAUCGGCCUAACCUGAAUAUUCCAACAGGAGCUAGCUAAUGAACGGCGAAGAGGUGUGCGACGAGGCGGCCCUUGGGGCCAAGCUCGACUGCCCGCUCAUAUUGCUGCUCAUGAAGCUGCUGGUGUUGCCUCCCUUGAUCUGCCAUUCGGUGAUGUAGCUGGGCUUGUUCACCACCUCGCCCACCUCCACGUCGUCCCCGGCCAGCAUCGACACAGCCCGAGACAUGGACGGCCGCUGGUGGGGCGAGCCCUGGGUGCAGAGCAGGGCCACGUGGAUGGCACGGAGCACCUCGUUGCUGUUGAAGUCAGCAAUACAGUUGCCAAACCUGAAAGCACAGAAAAUUAUCUAGAAAUGCUAAGAUGCCAGGCUAGCGUGACAUGUGUUUAGGGACGUUUCAUUUACCAAAUAUAAUCUCGUAGUAAUACCGUAUCCCUUAAUUUAUAGACGGGAUUAAAAUCAUUGGUGAGUUGCAUGGCAAUAAUAAGUAUAUCGGUGAAUGAGUAUUCUUUUUUUAAGUCAACGGGGGAGUGCCCCACCUGAUUCAUUAUAGACCAGCACGCUAGCACGCUUCCAUUAUUGGUGAGUUGUAUGGCAAUAAUAAGUAUAAGCCCCCUGCUCUUUUGGCUAGCACGCUUGCUCCCACCCAACAAGACAUUGUGCUCCACUAACUGUAUCUUCCCCGGACCACAGGAAACGUCAUCGUUGGCAAUUGAGAGCGUCAAUGUUCCCUGGGGGUAGAAGGAGCACUGACAUAGCGUAGGUAAGCUGGCUGUCCAUGACGCUAUUGAUCAGCACUGCAUGGCCCAUUGGAUUCAGUAGGGAGGCGUGCCAGCCGCUGAGAUGCCUGUCCGCUCUAGUGAUCAGAGGGCUGAACACGGACAGACGUAGCUUCUCGUGGGACAGUGGCAGCCCCAGGUAGGUUUGGGGGAAGCUGCCAAGUUGGCACCCAAGAAUACUUUGAAGCGCCGUGGUAGUCGAGCUGGAAGUGUUCAUUGGCAUCAUGGUACUCUUGUUGAAAUUGAUGUGCAGCCCCGUGGCCUCGCAGAACAGAUCAAGCACCUGCUUCAGCGCCACCAGCCCAUCUUGAUCUGCCUUGAGGAGGAUGAGGGUGUCAUCGGCAUAUUGGAGCACGGGGCACGGCUUCCCCGAGGUGGCAGGGUGUGAAAUCCUCUGGUCGAGCUUGAUCAUCUGCUGAAGGACGUCAGUGACCAGAAGGAACAACAGGUAGGGGGAUAGUGGAUCCCCCUGCCGUAGGCCUCUUCCACAGGCGAACCACGGGCCAGGAACACCAUUGACAAGGACAACAAGCUUCAAGGUUUGCAACAUGCUCGUGAUCCAGUUGCACCAGAGGGGCGGGAAGCCUCGCGCAUCCAUGAUGGCGUUGAGACUGAGACAAUCCACAGAGUCGAAGGCUUUGGCGAAAUCAAGCUUCAGAACCACGGUGGGUAGCUUGCGGCAGUGGCAGCACUGGACGAGCUCCAUCGCGUAGAUGAAGUUCUCAGAGAUCGAGUGCCCCUUGAUGAAUCCUGUCUGGUCUAGAUCAAUGAGGCGGGGGAUCUAGUGUUGCAGCCGCGUCGUCAGCAUCUUAGAGAUGAUCUUCAAGGAGCAAUUUUGCAGGCAGAUUGGGCGGUAGUCCCCCGGCGUUUUGUCAAGGAGACAGCGACCGCUUCGUACGAUUCCACUAACCGAUUCAAUGUAGCAACGACAGCUGCUUUCGUCACGGAUGUGCACCACGUCCAUGCGUUUGCAGGAAAGGGAGCGCAAAAAAAAAGAGAUAUUUUUGUGAACCGUACAGGCGGAUAUUACAAGGGCUGGGCCUAUUACAAGGCCCAAGGCCUGGUCACUCAUGACACAAAGCACGUUCGGUGAUAUGAAGCUGUGUGGUCCAGCCAAUUGCAAUUUACAGCCUUUUUUCGAGCGAAUUGGCAAUUCUUGUACACAUCCGAAUCGAAAUUUUUCCAAGUGAAUUUCCAAGAAACAAUCUUGGUCUUGGCAGAAGUUGAUCUUAACUUGCCGAUGGGCGAUGGUCAUCAAUCACCGGCCUUCAUCGAUGACGGAGCUCAGGGACAUGGCCUCCGCCCCCGGCUCCGAGCUCGACGUCCCCAUGGCGUUGCUCUGCCACUCGAUGACGUAACUGGGCUUAGUAACCGCCUCGGGCACCUCAAUGUCCCCGACGAGCAUCGACACCACCCUCGACAUGGGCGGGCGCUGCCGAGGUGAGCUUUGGAUGCAGAGGAGGCCAACGCGGAUGGCACGGAGCACCUCUUCGCUGUUGAAUUCUGUGAGCCUAGGGUCUGUGACGUCCAGAGGAUGGUCGUCCUCGUAAAGUUGCCAGACCUGAAAGCAUGAUAAGUUGGGGGACAAUUCAGAUCCAACUGUUUUUUUUUUCCUGUCGCAAUAGCAGAACAAAAAAACACACAAUCAUCAUUUUCAAGAUGGUUCCAAACAUUGAUCUUCUGCUGUGCAAGUACGCAACAAUAGGAUCCACAAUAAUACUACGGCCAUGCUAAAAUUUAACAAGAGAUGCCAGCCUCUAAUAACAAGUUCACAUAAUGACAUGUUGACUAGCAGUUUCUGCAAAAAAAAAAGGCAACUUUUCGCAAGUUUUUGGUUAGACUGUUUAAGUCCAAGGUUCGAUAAAACCCUUUGUCACCGGUCCGUGAAGGGACGUAUCUCCCUCUGAUCUAUUUUUUCCUUAAAAAUUCUAUGAGAAAAAUACUAUCUGGAACAAAAGAAAUUCAUAUAAUGAAAAAGUUCCAUCCAUGGGAAAAAAAGAAAGAAAGUACAAGUAUAAUCAUACCAUCUAAUAUAGUUAAUGUAUUUUUCUAAUAUAAAGCAUCAUGUUCUCUACCCACUCGUAAAAUUUAAAUCUAAAACUCAACUUGUACAUGAAAAAAAAAUAUUAUGAGGGAUAGGUCGGACCAACUAAAAUAGUUUGGGAUAGUAAAUUAAUCCAGAAUUUUGUUCAUAGGGUUAAACGGAAAAAGUGGAUUGCUUAGGGUAGUAUAAUUUUUCCAUUUUAUGUUUCUAUAGUCUAAAUAAUUGUUAAGUGCAGGGAAAGGAUUAGCUUUAUUGAUCUGUGGAACUAACACAAUGGCAACGACUGAGCUAGAUUCGCCCUCUGCAGAGGCUCUGAAUCUUAACAACUCAAUCCUUGCUUGCCUAUCAAUAAAGAACCAGCCGGCUUAUAUAUUGCUUGGUGCUAACAAACCAAAUCCUAAUUAACAGCUAUUGCUAACCUCCUGCCAUCUUAUCCAACAAAUCAGGCGCCUAACAUGCCGGAGCUGUUGCUGGCGCCGGCUUGCUGCGCCGCCUGUAGGUUCAGCCCACAAAAGCGUCCACAACAAUAAUACCUUAUAUUUUGAUAAAAAAUAGGUAUGUCUCAUCAACAAAUGAUUUUAGAAUGAUAUAAAUUGUGUAGUAUUGUAGGUGCGGGUACUAUUCAAACUUUAGCAGACUAAAAUUGUGGUUGUGUUUUUUUUUCUGCAGGUAAAAAAUCGUGGUUGUGUUUGAUUAAAAAAUCUCAUGAAUGCAUGUGUGCUUUGAUACUUUAAAUCACUCAUGAAUCUAGUGUGGAUUUUCCGACCCCAAUAGCAAAGGAAAAAGAGUGGAACAUUGCAUGACCUGGAUCUCAAUUGUACAGUGACCUUACCCAUUCUAAAAGAUAUGCUUUGUCUUCACCAAGCCUACCAUCAUAGUUUGGCCUUCCAGCUAUAGUCUCCAAUAUGACCACACCAAAAGCAAACACAUCAACUUUCUCACUCAUAUGACCUCUCAUGGCGUACUCAGGUGCAAGAUAUCCACUUGACGAAAACAGCAAAAAGAUCACCAUUAGCUCACAAAGUUAACGAAACUAAUAUAGUGUGUCAAGAUGCGUAAGGGGGAGAAGGUUGGAGAUGUGCUUACAAUGUACCAGCAACUUUUGUGCUGAUAUGCGUGUUCUUGUCAUCAUAAAGUUUGGCGAGACCAAAAUCAGAUAUCUUAGAAUUAAGAUUGGCAUCAAGUAAGACAUUACUAGCCUUUAUAUCCCUAUGCACAACACGGAUGCUAGACUCUUCAUGGAGGUAAGCCAGGCCUCUUGCAAUGCCCAAACAUAUCUCAAAGCGUGUUGGCCAGUCCAGGUUCAAUCUCCCAUUUCCUACCAAUGAAGAAUAAUUUUCAGAUUUAUGUAAGAAACCUGAACUCUUUGCACUUGCAUCGAAUUGAAUGAAACAUUACCGAACAAUGCUUUAUCAAGGCUUCCGUUGUCUAGAUACUCGUAAACCAACAAUGGGUUAUUGCCUUCAAGGCAGCAACCAUACAACUUCACGAGAUUACGGUGUUGCACUUGAGAAAUAGUUUCUAUUUCUGUUAUGAAUUGCUUCUUCCCCUGACGGGAUGUUUCAGAUAGUAGUUUUACUGCCACUACACUUCCAUCGGAUAAUUUACCCUGCCAGAAGGUAUCAUUUUUAAAAAUGCAUGUUUUAAGUAUCAGCGUUACCAUAUGUAUACUGUAAUGAAGAAAAUGAAGAAGACAACCACAACAAAAAGAAAAAGAAAUCAGUAGGGAGCAUAUGUAUAUAUUUUUUUGAAAUAAAUAUGUAUAGAUUUGUAUUAGUAAAAAGAACGGGAGAAGCAUGUGCAGUGAGAAAAAGAAUUCACAUUGCCCAAAAGUAGAGAUAAAAUAAAAGAGGUCUAGCCAAUUUGCAUAAAGAAACAGAUCAGUGUCAAAAAAUUCACAGAAAGUAAAAUUUAACAGAAAAUUGUCAUCCAUGUGUACUACAUAUGAACUAACCUUAUAAACUGACCCAUACCCUCCUUCGCCGAGAAAGUUACUGGAAUUAAAAUUUUCACUAGCGGUCUUUAGUUCACCAUAACUGUAAGUGAAUAAAUUAGGUCUUCCAACAGUAUUGUACAGGUCUGCAAGGAUGACAAGCAAUAAAUUCAUGAACACAACCAAUGUUUGUUUAAAGAAUACAUUGUGAGCAUAGUGUAUCAUGUACCUUGUUGCUCCAAAGACAGUUUUCUACUUUUCUGCCUCCGGACAUACAGUCCAGUGAGCACUAUUAGUCCUACAACUACUGCACCAACCGCAGCUCCAACAAUUGCACCUGUUUUAUUCUUACUUCUCUUCCGAGCAGCAUUAGGUGCUGUAAUCGUGAAGUAUGUCAGAUUCAAAAAAAGCUCACUUGUUGGAAUAAGACAGUGAUCUUACAAAGAAUCAGCAUAUUUUGACUCUGAAGUUUAUGUUAUGUUCUCCUUUACUCAUUUUUAUUUUGGAAUUCAGAUGAGAAUAUUUGCACAAUUUAGAAUAGAUAUGCACGAUUAGUAUAUAUUUAUGCAUAGGUUUAAUUGUCAGCAUGUUUAAUUGUCAGCAUUUCUCAUGGUCGAAACUAUAUGCACAAGUCGACCAAAGAAGGCUGUGGUCAACAGCCCGUAAUUCAACACCCGAUCCGUUGAAGAUGGACCGUAAAAGAUGUCAAUGGGAAGGCUGCUGCUGUCACUACUGACGUUGGUGAUCUCCGUUUCCUGCAAGUUCAUUUCGUUUACUUCUGUCACUACUGACGUCACCCGAUCCGUUUCCUUCUACUACAUCUCACCUGCACCAAGCAGGCAUAUGGAUCUUCGCUAAAGCCUAACACAGCUUCUCCAAGUUCAUUUCAAGUCUAUCUAUUCACUAUUAGAUUUAGGUGAUCACACUCAUGCGAGUUUAGUUGGUCCCGUUGCAAUGCAUACGGACCGGGUAUCCCCCUGGAAUUCUAAAAAAAAAACUCAUGCGAGUUUAGACCUAACAAGAUGGUGUUAGAAUCAUGUGAUUUGAAGCAAAUGGGAGAGAGAGUACCUGGAGUUACACUCAAAGCUGAGAUUAAAGGCCCGUAGUGGCCUUGAGUAGGGAUGCAACAAGUGCCCUUGCCAGCCCAGAACAGAUGAAUUUCAAGGAAGUUUCUAGUGACAGGAAUAAUAUAUUGCUUCUGGACAGCAGCGUAAGAUCCUCUUGCUUCCUUUCUUAUGUCAAAGUUCUGCUCCUUCCGCUCACCCUUUACCAAAAUAAAAAACUCGUGACCAGCUCAAGCUAAAAUGUAAAAACCAAGGGUAGGUUAUUAGUACGACUGGAACUAACCUACCUGUAUAUAGAUAUCAAAAACUCUUUUACCUAAACUUUGCCAAGUCCGUGAGUCCUCAAAGCUAAUCUCUGCAAAUUGAAGCGUUACUACAUAGUUUCCGUUCUCAAGUCCAAUGCCAAAGUAUCUUAAAGACGAAGGCGACAUCCUUGCUCUCUGGAACAGUUCUGAAUCUGGGGUAUUCCGAAACAGGCGUGUUGAGGUGUAUACUGUGUAACUUGCAUUUGAGCUUUGUAUUAUGUAAUCUCUUUCAAAUGCCUCCAUGAACCUCCCAACAUUGCUAACACCCCAUGUUGGUGCUCCUGUAACAUAAUAGGAUGCAGGUCCAAGAUUGGCAUCAUCAGGCAGAUACACGGAACCAUCUGAUCCUGACAUUGAACUACUGCUCCCGCAGUCCACAGCAAAGGAGGUAGCUGCAAGCAUGUUGAAUUAUUUAAUACUGAUGUUAAUUUAGCUAAGUAGACGCACGUUGCAGAAGCUAGAAGCUCACUUUGUGGAGAGCCAAGAAAGCAGGGUGUGUCUCGCUGAAGGCACUCCAGCCCCGAAGGUAAUAAGACACUGCAGAUGUCAAACAUUGACAUUUUGAAUUCAAAAUACGAGCUUAGAGAACAAUAAUUGUACAUGAAGACUUUGAGGAGCUAUUCGAAUGUAAACUGACCUGUUAUUGGAGUUGCUGACCACGAAAUUGUUUGCCACCAAAUUCCUAUGUACAAUGAAACAUGGAAAAAAGGCACCGUUCAUACUUCAGAGCAUAGAGGGUUUGUUUUAUAAGACAAAUAAAAGCAGGGACAAAUAACUGAUUCAUUUUUUCAGCGAAACUGUAAUGAAAAGUAAUUCUCCUUCAUUAAAGAUUCUGAAUUAUAUGUGGCUUAGAUUCUGAAUCAUAGAUGACGUCAAAUGCAAAAAGAAAAAGAAACAAAGAAAAAAGAAAUAUGAUCUAGGUGCAGCAAAAGCAGCUUUUUAGAUGUAGUUGAUAUUAAAAAAUGCUAGUUUAAUACAUGUGUACGAUAUUGGAUUUUCGGUCAGUCAAUCAAGCUUGCAAAACUCAGCACUUACAAUGUCAAAUUCGGACUAACCCAGGAGGGAAAGUUUCCUGAUAGCUGGUUGUAGGAAAAGUCUCUACACAAAAGAAAGCAUGUAAAUGUUAUAGAUAAACGCCUUCCUGGUUUUACUUCACAAAUGAAAGUGGACAAACAUACAAGUUUUUAAGAGAAGUUCCUAUAGAACUUGGAAGGCUUCCUGAAAGACUAUUAUUCCCGAGAAACCUGGGCAGACCAAAUUUGCGCAUUAGCAAGAUUGAUGAUCAUUGUCAUCAGAACCUAGAAAUAAGUAUCAGAAGGCAAGAUAAACCAUACAAGAAGCUGAGUAUAUUCAGAUUCAGCAGAGCUUGUGGUACUUGGCCAGUGAUAUUGUUAAAACUCAAAUCCCUGUAACAGUAGAACAAAUGAGACUAGGAGAGAAAGGGGUCAUCAAACAAUGCAUAAUCCACAGCAGUUCAUUAAAGCAUCUAGCAAAACAUGCAGUUGACUGGAGUUUAGGAAGAAACAAAAUGUCUUACAGUAGGCUUAAUUUUGCAAACUGUGAAAAGUUUACUGAUGCCAGGUUAUCAGAUAUCCUGCAGUUCCUCAAAACUCUGCAAUGAAACAUGUCAAGAGUUUUCGGAUUUAACAAUUGGUUACACUACAGAAAAUAUUAAGAUGUAGUUUGAGUCAUCAAAUGAAUGGCAAGUUAUGCAUACAAGGUGUUUAAAGAUGUCAUGUUACUGAUGAAUGCCAGUGAAGAACUUCCAUUUACUAUGUCACCUAUUCGUCUGCACCACAGAAAUAGAUAAUCAAUUCUUCUGUUCUGCAACCUUAAUAUUUGACAAUGAUACUUAUCUACUCCCGCCAUCAGUAGUCACUUACAAGCUUGUCAGUUGGACAAGAUUAGAAAGAGUGGUUGGAAGUGGACCUUGAAAUGAAUUGCCUUGAAACCGUCUGCAAAAUUAUAGUUGUUGUUACUAGUGAAGAAAGAAGGAAGAUCCUGCUGGUACAAGGGUCACUUUCUUGGUAAAAAAAGUAAAUAGAUUUAUGCAGAUAGAAAUAUGAUCUGUUCCAUAAAAAAGAUAAUUAUUAGAAAAAUCAAUUCAAUAUUUUUAACACUAGUAUUUUUUUAAUGGAACAGGAGGGGUUAGGACCCCUACUGGUUAUAUAUUCAGGAAAAAGGAGUCUUUUACAGAGGAAAAAGGAGAAAAAGGAAAAUUACAACAGAUUGUCAAGCCAUUCUGUGAUUCUAGGGAAAGACUUCUUUUUUUGCUCGAUGGAUAACCAUAGAAAAUUCAUACUUGAAAAUGUUUCUGCAACUCUCAACUGAAACUUGUUGUUGCCUGGAGAUUGCAUUGUUCCUUGUUGUCCAGAAUAUGUGGAACAGCACCGCAUCAUCAUGAAUAGUGAAAAAUGUAAUAUUUACUAAAAUGAUGAAACCACCUCACAUCUGACCUUAAGUGGAUUAUUUUAAUAGGUCACUGAAUGGAGAUUUAGCAGAGUAAAAACUACAAACUACACUUAGCUAAUACCAUCUCAUUUAUGAGCACAAUGAGCCAGGGUUCAAAAUGAAUUUCAUACUUGAGAACUGUUGCAAACUGUACACAAUGUCUUUAAAGAAAUUAUCAACACCAUCUGAAAAGUAUAAGUUGUAAAUCUUACAGAUCUGAUAAAUUACUGAGGCUCCCAAUGUAAUCUGGUAUUUGCCCAGUAAAAUCAUUAUCUGAUGCCCACCUAAUCACAAAUAAGAAUAACGCAUAAGGUUAAAUGAAUAAUACUGUUGACAAAACGUCUUUUAUAGGCAUACAAUGUUUUCAGGCUUGUAAGCUUAGAAAAUGAUGGUGGUAGUGGACCACUUAAGCCAGAGCUGUCAAUAUAUCUGCAAAACAGAAAUAAAAGAAUAAGAAUGUUAACAUGGUUUGGUAGAAGAAAAGGUAAGGACCACAGGGUGCCCAAAAUUAAUCAAAAUACGCACAGUUGCUCAAGUUUAACCAUGUUACCCAGUUCGGGAGGAAGGGAUCCAUUUAAGUUGUUUAUGCUUAUGCCCCUGAAAUCCCAAAAAAAAUGUCAGGUUAGUAGCAAAAGAUUUGUGACAGGAAACUUUCUUAUCUUUCGAAGGAUGAAUACUUUUCCCGACAGAGGUCAACUAGUAGAAGGAAUGAAGGUGUGUUUUUUCUAUAAGCAUGAUGUCGAUAGCAUGUAUUCUCAACUUAAACUGUUCUUUAUUUGUUGAUUCUUACACAUUUAAAUAAAUUCAUAGGUACGUGUACAAAGCCAAGUCGAGAUUUAUAAAACUUUGUAGUUUGGACAUUAGCAAAGAUUUCUACUGAAAUAGGACCAUGAAACAGAGAAGGUAAAUUUCUUACAGCGCUAUGAGAUUCACAAGCUUCCCAAGCUCCUUUGGAACAGAUCCAGAUAAUGCAUUCAUUGCAAGACUCCUUGUAUGUUCAAGGGAGAUAGUUUAAGUUUCAAUGUUACCCAAAACAUGCGAUGUAGUAAUGUUAGGUUCUAAAUCUCACAAGUAUUGCAAAGCAGUCAGUUCCCCAAGGAACGAUGGUAUAGGCCCUGUUAAGUAAUUUUGCAUUAAGUUCCUAAAAAACGUCAGAUCAGAUCAGAUGUAAACGAAAAAGGAUGGCUCUCAGUAGGUAUUAUAUUUAAAGAAAUUUUGAGCUUGAUGUGGGAGGCUACUACAAAGCAAUCCGCUGCUAUGAUAAUAUGAUAUGCCGUGGAACUGCGGGAAAUGACAAAGUCCACCAAUAAAUUGCGACUAAACAAUCUUAAUAUACACUUGGGAUACUUUGGCUCACUGACGAUUUCAAGAAAGUUGAGAAUUCAUACAAACUGGUCAAGUGCGUGAGGUUCCUCAGCUCUUCUGGUAUAGGACCUGCCAGAUUCAAUGCGUACAUUUUCCUGCAGCAAUAACAGUGAAGCACCCAUCAGCUCGCACCAUCUCAAUUUAGCCUUCAUGGAUGUUCGUCGUCAGACAAACACCACCAGGUUAUGGAGCGCCGUCAAAUAACCGCACAAGCAAUAGUUGCAGAGAUAAGGACGAUGCACUAGCCUGCCACACUCUGAGUGCACGAACUGCCACCUCAGGUGGGCAAAUUAGAGCUGAUGGUGGGCGUACGGAUAGGAAGCGUGAGACACUUACAGCCUGGUGAUGUGGCAGACGGUGUUGUUCUGGUACGUGCAGUCGCAUUUGAUUCCCGGGUUCAUUUUUGGGUCAUUGUCGACGUCGGUGUCGUCCGUGGCCGCGCCGGCGCAAGGGUCGACGCCGCUGAACCAAGAUGGCCACAGUCUGCUCCCGAGUUUGUCAAACACCCCCUUCAGCGCAUCCGCUGCGAAUGAGACACAAACACGAAAACGCGAUCAAACAUCCUGCCCCUCGGCAGUCCGAGAAAAUUUUGCAAUAUGCUCCUAUGGUUUAAGAUAUUUAGACCCUGACUAUAACUUUUUGCAGGCCGAGAGCUUGCAUUGUGUGGCCGAGGGGGAUUGAUUUGUUUAGUAUUCAUGUGCUCUAAUGGUCGAGAGUAUUUUGGUGUUACAUAGCUGAUCUCCGAGAGUGAACAUGAUUUCCAGAGAAGCAAUCACCGACUAACCUUUACCGACCACAGAGAAUAUAUAAAAUAACAGAUCACCGCCAGGCACUCAACGCGUACUCUAGGCAAAAGUGGUGAAUCUAGUAGUGUACAGUGAUAGCUAGUCUUAAGCUUGUAAAACAUAAAAAGCAUUAUAAGUACCCUAAAAGCUUGGUGACAUAGUAACUUAUUUCUUUUUUAAUAAAAAAAUAUAUAUCUAGUAGGAAUCUUAGCCCCCACCUGUUCCUAAAAAAGUACCAAGACUCUAGCAGUCCUACCUCGGGGCUUUCUUAUUUUACAACAAAAAAAAAGGCAAUGGGGGUACUAAUACUAUGCAGCAAGAGGUGAGAACAAGAUGACAUGAAGAUGCACAAAAAUAUUUGUGCUCGAGAUGAAAUCUGUCCUGCCCUGCAAUGGACGAUUCCACUCUUUCACAACCAAAAUUUAUGCUCGAACAAGAUGCUUUUACCUUUACUAUCGGUUUCAUGACUACACGCACGCCGGCCUACAUGUUGCCAGCACAGCACAUGCGCCAACCUGUUUUGUUACGCCAUCUCAGCCCAGCCAGGUCUGUGUCAGGCAAGCAGCACGAACAUGUUUCUAUGUUUAGUAUCGAUUCCCUUUGUUUCAAAAUAUAGUUCAAUUUAGAUUUAUCCUCAAUCAAAUUUCUAUAAAUUUGAUAGGCAUCAGCAUCUACAACAUCAAAUUAGUUUCAGUGAAUCCACCAUGAAAUAUCUAUUUCAUGAUAGUGUAUUUUAUUUGGUAUUUUUUGACGAAGUCAGCAGGAAAGCCUCAACCUAUUUUUUUAAUUUUUUAUUCUAGAUCUGUUUAAUUCGCUUCCAAGGGGAGUCGAACUCGAACUCAGGUCUGCUGGAUACUGUUCAGGUGCUCUAACCACUAGGCUAGAUGCACUUUCACUAUUUUAUUUGGUAUUGUAGAUGUUAUUAUAUUUUUUUAUAAACUUAAUCAAAAUUAGAGGAAGUUUGAUUUAGUGAACUGAGCGUAGCUCAGCUGGUAAGGUCCCUUGUGGUGGAACCUGCUCAGUGGUAGGUGAUGCGCCCAUUGAUAGCGAGACGUCAGCGGUGACUUCAUCAAUCUCGAGGAUUUACCAGUUCAUUUUUCGGAGGUGCUCAUAGGGGUAAGGUUGCGUGCGUGUAUUCGUAGGGGCGAGUGUGCGUACAUGUAUAUGAGCGUCUACGUCUGUACUUAUGAUUCGCACUUAUGAUUCGCAGUAAAAAAGAGAAAGUUUGAUUUAGAAAAAACUAAUGAACUAUAUUUUAGAAUGGACUAAGUAAUCAAUUAGGUGCUGAUUUAUUUUUUUAAGACGUACAUAUGAGAAAGUUACCUAUCAAAUUAUUCUUACUAUAUUUGGUCAUUUAAAGACGACUCGUCAUGCUAGAUGACCGGAAGGAGUAGUAAAGAAUUAGUCUUAGACGACUCCACCGGAGACAGGCAAUGAAAACGACAACUAGCAAGUAACUACCACGACAAGCAGCCAUAAGGUGGUUGAAACUGCACAACAAGUCAACAACUAGCUCUCUAAGGAAGGUUGAUUUUUAGGGCAGUUCCAAAUCAUAGUUUCUAUGGGUAGUUUUUAUGUUCACAUAUCAUCAAGAUGCCACUUGUAGAUCUAAUCUCCCCAACCUAUAAUUUCUAUGGGUAGUUUCUACGUAUGAUUUCACGCAAGCAGCACAAACAAAGCUCGGUCAGCUGUGGCAAGCAACCGCGUAGCCUUCAUGCUGCCACAGUCCGAGCCAUUGAAAUUAAAAUAAAUUCAUUCGCAGCUGCUAUAAGAUCGAUCAACCUGGAAAGAGCCGCCAAGAGACGAUGCAGGCCAAAAUGCAGGAGCGAGAUGAGCGCUGGUUCGAUCAGUGCCUGGACAAAGUGCCAAAGUGGCGCUAGAAGCAACGGACGGAGAACUAGCGCCUGGAGAAAGCAACAGCAGCAGCACCAACAACUCGUCUGGAACUUGAAGAGGGCUUCCUCGAUUUCUUUUGAUGUACGCCUUUCUUCUCCAAUCGAUCCUUAGAAGCGGCGCGUGGGGAAUUGCUGGCGGAGGCUUGGUGCGCGGCCGCGCACGGGGGUGGCCAGCGGCGUCAGGCGGACACAAGCGCCGGAAAUUGGCACGCGCGAGCGAGGGAGGGGAUGGCCCGCGGCGCGCGCGUGAGGGAGGGUCGCGACGCGGCAGUAGCAGGCGCGCACGGAGCCUGGGGGUGGGUCGCGGCGCACAGCGGAUCGGGAAGAUGCGCAAGAAAACGAGGAAGAAAACCGUAACGCUGGCCCAACGCGAUUUCGGCGGUAUCUACGCACUUGAUUCGCGAGCUGACUCGGUUUCUAACAUGAGAAAAACAACGAUAUCUCGCUCUUUCUUCGUUAAACCACCUGCCACGUCAUUAGCCCCCUUUGUCACGGCUCCUUGAGGAGCUUCUCCACCGGCUUCUCAAGGAGCCGUGUCAAACACUUUCUUCAAAACAGCUUCUCCGGCGAAGCUGCCUAAAAAUCUGUUGAGAGGAGCAAAACGAGCAGGCGGAGCUAGGAAAAUGAGCUCCCCGCGGCUCCCUCAUCCAUCCUGCACCAUUCGGUACCAUAAUACCCCUGGAGUUUGCCGAAUUUACACCCAUUUUACCACUGUCUUCUUUUCUCUCUCUCCCCUAUCGCCCAUUCGUGGAGGAACGACGGGCGGCGACUAGCAGCGGGAGGUUCAAGCACCAGGAGGUGUGGCAGAGGUGGCCGGCAGUGGUACGCGGAAGCGGUGGCGGUGGCGGCUGGCAGCUGUAGGCAGCGCGGGCCAGGGAGAAAGAGAGGAGGAAAAUAGAAAGGCAGCUGGCAGCACGCGUGGUGGCCAGAGAAGGAGGCUAGGGGGGUGGCCGGAGAAGGAAGCCAUGGGAGCGCGGCACGCCGGAGAAGGUGAUGACAGGCUGAUCUGGUGCAGGGAGGUGCAGGGUCGCGAUGCGGUAGUAGUAGGCAUGCACGGAGCCUGGGGGUGGGUCGCGGCGCACAGCGCAUCGGGAAGAUGGGCAAGAAAACGAGGAAGGAAACCAUAACACUGGCCCAACGCGAUACCGGCGGUAUCUAUGCACUUUGGUGCGCGAGCCGACUCAGUUUCUCACCUGAGAAAAGCGAUUUCUUACUCUUUCUUCUUCCCUGUUUGGUUCCUUUAGUGCAUAGACUGGACUAAACUUUAGUCCCACCCCUGUUUGGUUCCAUGGACUAAGGGAGUGUUUGGCUCCCAGGGGUCAAACUUUAGCCCCUGUCACAUCGGAUGUUUGGAUACUAAUUAGGAGUAUUAAACAUAGGCUAAUUACAAAACUAAUUGCACAGAUGGAGGCUAAUUCGCGAGACAAAUCUAUUAACCUUAAGUCCAUGAUUUGAUAAUGUGGUGCUACAGUAACCAUUUGCUAAUGAUGAGUUAAUUAGGCUUAAUAGAUUCAUCUCGCGAAUUAGCCCAGGGCUUCUCUAAUUAGUUUUAUAAUUAACUCAUGUUUAGUCCUCCUAAUUAGCAUCCGAAUAUUUGAUGUGACAAAGGCUAAAGUUUAGCCCCUAGUAUCCAAACAGCACCUAAAAUGGACUAAAGUUCAAAAAUACUGUUAAACAAAGACCCUUUUACUCUUCUUCCCUACCCUCUUGGUAUCCCUGCGUCUACUCCUCCUCACACGGGAACUCCAACUACCGCUGGUUGAAGCUUCUCCAUCUCCAGCGCCAGUGGAGCACCGCUCGAGCAUGCCCAACCUACCCCGCCACAUGCGAACUCCCGCGCGGUGCAGGCAAGAUCCUUUGUGUGCCGGCGAGCAGUGGAGCGAGCAGAGGAUUGGCCCGAAUGGGGGAGCCUCGAAUCAGCGACAAGAUGGAGGCUCAUCGAUUCGGCCACAAGGUGAGCUCAAGGGGGCGUCGCGUUGAUUUGGACGCUGGGGAGGCUCGAUGGGGUGGCAAUGUGUCGAUUUGACCGUCGGAGGACCCCGAGGGGGUGGCGGCAGUCCUUCUCAUCGCCUCUCCCCCAUGGCGGGCUAGCACCAUCGUACAUUGAAGCUCCGCCAGCCUAGCUGCAGGGCAAGCGAGCUUCGAUAGUGCGGCCACGGUACGGUCGAGCGCCACCGCGUAGGUGAGGGCAGCAGUGGGCCGGCGGCGAGGGGAGGGGAGCAGCGGUGGGUAGGCACGAGCGGAGGAGCAGCGGCCGGACGUGGGGAGAGCGGCGGCGUGGGGAGGUGAGCAGGAGGGAGGCGGGUGGUGAUGGCAGCGGGCGGCGACGACAACGAGUGGGAGGGAGGCCAGGUGGGAGGGAGGCGGCGGGCGGGAGGGAGCCGGGUGGGAAGGAGGGCAGUAAAUGAGGGGUAGGGGUGUCCCAACACCCUUUAGUCCAGUUUUGUGGAUUAGAGGACUAAAGCCUUUUGUUCAAACUUUAGUCCACUGUUUGGGUGUUUAGGGACUAAAAGUGCACCAAAACUUUAGUCUAUGAGAACCAAACACCCCCUGAAUCACCUCCCACAUCAUUAGAUUGCUGAGAUGGUAACACCCCCUGAAUCACCUUCCACAUCAUUAGAUUGCUAAGAUGGUACUGUAUUGAAUGAUAUAGAAAUUGGGUGACUUGAAGGUUGGGAAUGCCCUUAAUAUUUUCUCACUUGGAUCCCAAUUUCAUCUCGUGGGCUUGCUCUGUUAAGUUUCCUCUCGUGCGGUUGAAACAGCUUUGGUUGUGGCUUCUCUGAUGGAGCGGUUUUUUUAGCUCUAGUUUGCUUGAUUGGAAAAACGUUUGGCAAAACAGCUUCUCUUGAUUGUUUUAAAUGGAUAAAAAUGUGAAAUGUCCAUACUACACUUACCUUUUUUUUCUUUUCUAUUUCUUUUCUUUUUUUUCAUUUUCCUUCCUCUUUUAUUGCUUUUUCCUCCACGGUUCCAACCGUUUCUCUCUGCCUACCUUAUCCUUUCACUCCAUCCCAGCGCCAAUGCCCGCGCAUGCUGAUGCGCCUCCAUCCUCAGGCCCUACCGCGCCUAGGGGCAAACUGGAGACUUCGGCCUUGCGGAUGGGACGAAGCUGCGGGGAGCCAAUUUUUUUUGGCUUCUCCUCCACCCUUAGCUCCUCUCAGCGCGAAUUGGGGGCUCCAUCGGUGGAGCCGUUUCGUUCUUCCCCGUUUGGCAGCUAGGGCUGCUCAAGAAGCCCUGUCCAAGAGGACCUUAUUCGUAGGCAAAACAUGAACGAAGUCAAAAGGCCAAAAAUCAUAACAUCAUACCAUUAAACGCACCCCUGUUGCCCUUCUACCCCAAACAUUUGGAACGAGAUAGUUUCUUGGACGAAUCGGGCAGAUGAUUCUCUAGAACAGAUCAGGGAUGACUUGCCUUGCCUUGCCGGGCAGAUGAUUCUUGGAAGAAAAUUACCGUGCCUUGCCAGGCUCGUGCCGGACCCUACUGGACCGCUCGUUUGGACAUCUAUAGCCAAGUGUGAAUUUUAUGGUGGGCAAGCAAAAGGCCAAACACGAUAUCGAUGGAUUGAUGCAAGCUGAUUUGAAACCCCCUCGCUAAUUUGAAAGAAAUAAGACAUGCACGCUUACCUUCAACCGGAUCGGUCCUUGUCCUCGCUUGCUGAGCUUGCGCAGAUGCAGCUAGAAGAAGCAGCAGCAGCAGCAACGUCGGGAGCGCAGCAGAGCCAUGGCGGCACGAACUGCUGGGUCCAGGCCUCCUCAUCUCCUUCCCCUCUCUCUGGCCUCGAGGUCGGGGUUGGCUACCCCUUCCGAGGCCGAGCGGGAUAUAUGGUGACCUGAUGGAGACUCUUAUGGCGAUUAGCUUGUCUCAGGGCCCCGCCGCCGCGGCAGACACGUACAGCUCCCUCGACGCUGCGCCACCAUGCAAGGACGGCGCAAUUAGGGAAUUUUCUAUGGUCAAGUGGCGCCACUGCUAUGUCGAACGCGACGGGCCAACAACUACCUCCAGGCUCCCACAUGGAAGCAGAGCCGAAGGCGAUCGACGACGACGGCUGACCGUGUUGUUCUGUGCGAGGAGACUUGCAGCUUGGUGACGUGGCAGACGGUCGCCGCUGAUGUUCCAUGCCGACGCCGCCGUUUAGCACUUUCAUUAAAUAUUUUACAUAUAUUCAAUAAUGUGGUGAAAUUGUGUUUUCUAUGAAGGCUUGUGAACUUGAUAUUACAAAUAUUAUAUAAUUCCAUCAUAUGCGUUACACUAAAGAACCAGAAGCACAGGAAUCAAUGGGUGAUAUUGCUCCACCUCGAGUGCAGAGUGGGAGUGAACUUACAUGUUCCAAAAUAUAAACAAUAUAAACUCUUGUUACGCUGCUGGAGAGGAGGCAUCGCUGGAGUCGCACUUCGCCUUGUUGGACACGCAUCACCCCUCUACUCUGUAUGGGUCUCUUUUGCGCAACUCCUGCUGGCUCCAGCUCCAUUACUGUAGCACACUAUAGUUUAUUGUAGUGCGUGCCGGAUCUGGAGUUGGGGGAGCAAUUUUUUCUAGAUUCACCGGCUCCUCCUCCAUAACUGUAGUGCAAUGUAGCUAAUCGUAGCGCAUAUCAGAUAUGGAUUUUGGCUCCUCCUCCAUAACUGUAGUGCAAUGUAGCUAAUCGUAGCGCAUAUCAGAUAUGGAUUUUGACUCUUCACUGCAGUACAACAUAAUAGUGAUACAAGUAGCGUGACACAGGAGACAAGAGCUGUGAGGGAGCGGUGCCAAAGGGGUCAUACGGGUGUCUUCCUCUAUUUUCUUUGCGACGGGAAGAGGUAAACAUACGGGUGGGGCAUCAAGCUAAGUGCACGAGAUUGUGCUCAGAGAAAAUCUUGCUGCUUCUUUUUUUAAUCAUAGAUCGGGUUGGCAUCGUCCUGUCGUUCUGUCAUAAAUCAUAUAUAUAGAUCCGGAUAGACCAAACCCUCCAACAUCAUCAUUUGGUCCUGGGCUCAAAAAAUCAAACCAAAACUUGACCCGAAAAAGAAAAUCGAUCUAAGACGGGCGAAGCAACAAUCGAUCAGAGCACAUAACCUAACACAAAAUACGUGCAAAAGCUGAAUAUAUAUCCUCAGAACGUUUGUGACGUGCAUUUACAGAAAACUGUCCGUCAACUUGCAAAUCACCGGCCUUCUUCUCGGAGCUGUUAGAGGUUUAGGCAUUUUACGGCAUAUUUUAAUUCCGAAUAUUUUUAAGUAAAUUAUGGUCAUUGUGAGUGAUACAGACCGUGUGCAAGUGUUUUGUUUAAAACACGUUUGAACGUAAACAGAACCAAAAGAAAGAACCAGAUAAGGUUCAAUAUGUACCCAGGGGCGGGAUCAUUGCUGAAGGCAAUGGGUGCGCCGUUCCUAGAACUGGAUGCAUCAGACAUUGUGUCUAAAAUGUCGGUUCGAGCUGUUCGAUGUAGUUGAUCAAAGUUGAUGCAGUGUUGAGUUGGUGCAGAGCAGUCCCUUGAACGGCCUCCAGGAUGUAGCAUGACGCGCAGAAGAUGCGCUUCCCCAAAACUUGAUUGCCUGCCUACUCGUGCAAGUGUCGCAGCAGGAUGAAGUUUCGGAGACCUGCGCGUAGAGGCUCGCGAUGGGAAUGUCAAGAUAGCAGCGGGCAACAGCAAAAAAAAGGGGAGAGACGCGUGCGCGGCUCGACGAGGCGAGCAAGCGCACGCGCGGCACCCUUUCUCUCUUCCUCAACUUCUCAAUUAGUGCACACAUAGUCCAUCUAUUUUAGUUAGUUAAGAUACUCUUAACUAUCCAGCUAGAAUUAACCACUUUAUCCAUCUAGCAUUACACGUGGAUCCUGAGAUUAAAUGAAUUAAAUCGGCCUAACCUGAAUAUUCAACAGGAGCUAGCUAAUGAACGGCGAAGAGGUGUGCGACGAGGUGGCCCUUGGGGCCAAGCUCGACUGCCCGCUCAUAUUACUGCUCAUGAAGCUGCUGGUGUUGCCUCCCUUGAUCUGCCAUUCGGUGAUGUAGCUGGGCUUGUUCACCACCUCGCCCACCUCCA